Psammomys obesus (fat sand rat) is the source of this 2344-nucleotide long non-coding RNA. RefSeq lists it as uncharacterized. The record is from RefSeq and is a predicted model, not a curated record. The transcript is spliced from 3 exons. NCBI's taxonomy places the organism in Eukaryota, Metazoa, Chordata, Mammalia, Rodentia, Muridae.
UGCUGUGUGGGUCCCGGGGAGGGGUGGGGGCACCUUGAGAUAGAUCCUUUACGGAAUACAGGAGAUAAAUGAUGAGCCGGCCACCUCACGUGUGAACAGUUUAGCUCCAUUUGCCUUAGGUGACAUGUUUCUGGAUUCUUGUGGUUUGGUUGGUGGUGGUGGUGGUGAUGGUUUUUUGUGUUUGUUUGGUUUUGGUUUUUUGUUUUGUUUUUGUUUAUGGGUUUGUUUUUGAGACAGGGCUUCUCUGUGUAGCCUUCGCUGCCUCCCCGAGUGCUGGGAUUUAAAGGCGUAUGCCACUGUGCCCAGUGGAUUCUUGUGAUUUUAACUCCCACCUUUCUUUGGGACCUUUCCUGCCUCCCUUUUAUUUCCCCAGCAGCUUCUGUGACCUCUGUUCUGUCUCAUCCUUUAAAAAGGCAAAGAGAAAGAAUCUCAGGUAUCACAGACUGGCCUUUCCUCCCUGGGUAGCAGAAGAUGGCCUUAAACUGGUUCCUGGAGUGCCACCUAGAUGACACUGCAACCCACCUGUCUCCUGGGAUCCCCCGACUCCACCCUGCAGCACCAGACUUCCAGACUUGCUAUUUAUAGGAGAGCUGGGCUAUGAAGCCGGGUUCUCAUGCCUGCAACAACAAAAUGCCUUUACCUGCUGAGGCCUCUUCCCAGCUCCACACUCUGGUCUGGAAUCUUUGCUUUCUUCUUCACUGGCCCCUUUACAUGCUCCCUGUGCCUAAAUCCUCUGUUUGUCCAUCUCCCUCCAGUUUUUUCUCUCCAGCUUUAGGAAAAACCUUGCCGGGAGUGGUGGUUCAUGCCUUUAAUUUCAGCACCCCGGAGGCAGGUGGAUCCCUCUGUUAACUUAACCAGCCUGGUCUAGACGGGCCUUGCUCACGCCAAGGAAAUGUUCUGCUGGUCAAGACUGGAAAGGCCAGGUGCUGUACAACACCUGUAACCCUGGCACCUGGUAGGCUUGGCGAGAGGAUCCUGAGUUCGAUGCCAGCCUGAACUACAGAGCAAAUUCCAGACUUUCCUGAAGUAAGUGGCAAGACUUUCUCUCAAGACAAACACAAGGGGCUGGAGAGAUGGCUCAGUGGCUAAGAGCACUUGCUGCUCUUGCAGAGGACCCAGGUUCAACUCCAGCCACCCACGUGGUAGCUCACAGCCAUCCCUAAAUCCAGUUCUAGGAGCUCCAACACCUUUUCACCUCUAGCUCUCCAAUUGGUGAAAUGCAUGUGGUACACAUACCUACAUGCAGGCAAAACAUUCACACACAUAAAAUAAUAAAAUUUGGAAAAAAAAAAAAGCAAAAAGACAUGGAUGGAGGAAGGUGUCUCAGUCAUUAAAGUACUCACUGAGCACAUGUGAAGACCUGAGCUUGCAUCCCCAGCACUGAGAGAAAAGCAAUCCCAGCACUGGGGAAUUGGAGGCAGGAGGAUUCCUGUCAGCUCGUCUAGAGAAGUUAGGGAAUUCCACUAACUCACUGAGAGACUGUGUCCAAAAAUAAGGCAGAGAGCAACUGAAGAGGACACCCAGUGUCAAUCUCUGGCCUCUACACACAUGCAACGCAAACACACCACACUCCACACAGAGCUGAGUGUAUUGACCUUCGCUUGUCAUUGCUGCACUCUGUGACACGGUGGGUGAGGCAGAAAGCUCACCCUUGGCACCCUUACUCUGGUAAGGGUAAGGCCCUGAGUGAGGCCCUGUCUCUAAACAAAGCAAAAGCCUGUGGGACAAUUUGUCUUAAAACUCGGAAGCUGGGGUGGCGGUGCACAUCUGAGGUCUCAGCACUGGAGAGCGAGGGGCAGGAGUUCAAGAUCAGCCUCUGCUACAGGACAUGCUGUGCCUUAGUGGCACGUGUGCCAUAAGGUGGUACACAAGACGCCACUGCUCUGCAUCUGUGUCGGCUCCUGCCCUGCCCGCAUCUUCCCUCUCAGGCUCCAGGCUCUUCGGGCAAACAGAAGCUUUCUGUAAGCUGGCCGAAGCUUCUCAUGACCAGCACCACAGAGAAACCAUCUUGUGGGAUGAGAAGCCACCUUCACUUAUCCAAAAACUUAGAAGAACCCUUAAGGUUUGUUCAAAGGGACACAAACAAAAUGGUCUUUGGCUUAAAUUUUUUUUUUCAUGCUGCAACUGUAUGAGCUUAUUCUGUUACUGUCAUUUUUGCCUACUCUCCCACACUGCUGCUGCUCCUGGUGGUUGUCUUAAAAGACAAAGUUUCAGACUGGAAAGAUGACCCAGAAGUUAAGAGCACUGGUUGCUCUUCCAGAGGGCCCAGCAACCACAUGGUGACUCAUAACCAUCUAUAAUGAGAUCUAGUGUUCUGACGUGCAGGUGUACAUGCAGGCAGAAG